Molecule: long non-coding RNA, 1831 nt
Filed under: Paramuricea clavata
Lineage: Eukaryota; Metazoa; Cnidaria; Anthozoa; Malacalcyonacea; Plexauridae
Source: RNAcentral
CUCCAGUGUUUGCUCGAGGCCGAUCACCCUGGCAACAGAGGAAGCACAAUCUUGGAUAGCCUGAAGAGUACAUGGUAUUGCUGUGCUAUUAAUAGGUACAUGGUAUUGCUGUGAUAUUAAUUUCAGUGCCCAAUUUUUUAACAAUAUAGCCUUUUUCUUGACAGUCGAAGUAACUCGGUGAUCAACUGUCAGUUAUUUUCUGGCUAGUUUUAGAAGAUGAAUUCACACCAGUACAAGCGUUCAUGAUAGCCAAAUUUCUCAUGCUGCGAUAGAACUUCAUCUUCAGGUGGUAAGCAAUCUUCAACUGGGCCCAAUGAGCAGCAUUUCUCUGCCGAAUAUUUGUGUAUUGUCUAAUCGUAAGCAGAGCAAGAUCUGUACUAUGUCUUUGAAAUUUUAUAAGCUGAUGUGUUCGUACAUAUCUGAAGUUCCCUUUGGAUUAACCAUAUAUUCGUGGUAAUAUUCUGUCUUAAAGCCAUGACCUCCUUUUGAAGAGCUCAUCUAAAUAAUGACGGUGGGAGUUUGGAAUCAGCAACAACUCUAAUGAAUAUACUCUGCCAGGCUGAUAUUCUGUGACCAGUGCUUGUAGAGAUUGAUGUUAAUGUUGUCAUAUAAGUAUGAACUCAAGCUGGUAAUUAUCACCAUAUCAGGUAUGCAUGGCUGGAAUUGACGUUUUAGGCCUGUAGGCAAACACGGUCACACUUGCCUCACUCUACCAUUUGAAGCAUGAGAGGGUGAAAUUGACCGACGAAUGUUUCGAGACAAACAGUGGACUGUUGAUCCUACAUUUUUGUAUAAUGGUACUGAGAUUCGAGGGUCGACGGUGAAAUCAGGUAGACUUGGGGGGAAAAACUCAAACUGUUCAUGAUAAUUGUUUGGAUUUUGGAACUAAUCGUAGUUCUUCUGAUUGGUUGAUUGGUUGGGGAACAUUUUAAUAUUGGACGGUUGCAGAAGGUAUGUUUGUAGAAGGGAAAUUUAUCACAGGGGCUCAACACUACUUCCGGCAAGAGCUGUUGGAUUUUAGUAUGUAGCGGGAUCUUUAAUGUUAAUUGAAGGAGAGUUGCUCAUGACUGAAUCGACGAGACAAGCUGACUUCGGGCAGUGGAAGGCAUUGAACAGGUAAGGAAUAUUCAAUGUUGAUUGAAGGAGUAUUUCAGAGGGAAGGUUUACAUACUGGUGGAUAGACACUUUUGACAGUGGAGGAAGCGGAUUCUUUAACAAAGAGGGAAUUUUUGAAGUUGAUUGUGGAGGGUUAAUUACAGGAAGUUUCCAUAGUGCAAGCUUUUGGUUAUGUAUAAAAUGUUCAAUUUAUCGUAGGUUGAGGACUUUUAAUAUCAAUUGAAGAGGGAAGGUUCCUGGUAAUUGGGAUGGUACAAAGUCACCUCUACUGGAGCUGAAGACCAUUUCUACUUGGAGCUGAAGACCUUUUCUGGCGUAGGAUUUUGAAGUAGUAUGUUUAUUGAUGAGGCAGGGCUUUUGGAAAGCUGGUUUUGUGCAGUAAUACCAUAAAUUAUCACGUUUAAGUACAAUGUGUUGGCAAUCCCGCUCAAUAUCGAGUAAAAUGUCUACUUAAAAAUUUGAAUUUCAAAUACAAGGUUGCACGGUGAUGUUCCCACGGAUUCUUGACAUCAAUUGACCUGGUUCCAAUGGCAAGAGUAUUUCGACGACUGGAGUUCAAGUUCUGCUGCAGUUGUUGGCCGUUGGUUCAAACAGAGCUCGUCCGCUCUUUAGCAGGUCUUGUUUUUAAUCCUGCAGGGUGACCACACACCCUCCUCUCUAGGUAAACCUAGAGGGGUUGCCGGUUGAGUCGCCGACGGCCCGACCAUGAACAGGU